This 27-nucleotide non-coding RNA is filed under the name Mus musculus (house mouse). Lineage: Eukaryota; Metazoa; Chordata; Mammalia; Rodentia; Muridae. The record is from RNAcentral.
UGCUAAGGUAUUGUGUGUGAGAAGAGC